This 417-nucleotide ribosomal RNA is filed under the name uncultured bacterium. RNAcentral's name for it is "bacterial SSU rRNA". It matches the Rfam family "Bacterial small subunit ribosomal RNA", at positions 45 to 457 of the family's 1533-position model. The record is from RNAcentral.
GGCUAACACAUGCAAGUCGAGGGGUAACGGAAGUAGCUUGCUACUAGACGACGACCGGCGCACGGGUGAGUAACGCGUAUGUAAUCUGCCUUGUACAGAGGGAUAGCCCAGAGAAAUUUGGAUUAAUACCUCAUAGUAUUACUGGAUCGCAUGAUUUGGUAAUUAAAGCUCCGGCGGUACAAGAUGAACAUGCGUGACAUUAGCUAGUUGGUAAGGUAACGGCUUACCAAGGCUACGAUGUCUAGGGGUUCUGAGAGGAUGAUCCCCCACACUGGUACUGAGACACGGACCAGACUCCUACGGGAGGCAGCAGUGAGGAAUAUUGGUCAAUGGACGCAAGUCUGAACCAGCCAUCCCGCGUGAAGGAUGACUGCCCUAUGGGUUGUAAACUUCUUUUAUAUGCAAAUAAACCUACUU